UCGCCCUUAGAGUUUGAUCCUGGCUCAAGACGAACGCUGGCGGCGCGCCUAACACAUGCAAGUCAAACGAGCGAGAGAGAGCUUGCUUUCUCAAGCGAGUGGCGAACGGGUGAGUAACGCGUGAGGAACCUGCCUCAAAGAGGGGGACAACAGUUGGAAACGACUGCUAAUACCGCAUAAGCCCACGACCCGGCAUCGGGUAGAGGGAAAAGGAGCAAUCCGCUUUGAGAUGGCCUCGCGUCCGAUUAGCUAGUUGGUGAGGUAAUGGCCCACCAAGGCGACGAUCGGUAGCCGGACUGAGAGGUUGAACGGCCACAUUGGGACUGAGACACGGCCCAGACUCCUACGGGAGGCAGCAGUGGGGAAUAUUGCACAAUGGGGGAAACCCUGAUGCAGCGACGCCGCGUGGAGGAAGAAGGUCUUCGGAUUGUAAACUCCUGUUGUUGAGGAAGAUAAUGACGGUACUCAACAAGGAAGUGACGGCUAACUACGUGCCAGCAGCCGCGGUAAAACGUAGGUCACAAGCGUUGUCCGGAAUUACUGGGUGUAAAGGGAGCGCAGGCGGGAAGACAAGUUGGAAGUGAAAUCCAUGGGCUCAACCCAUGAAUUGCUUUCAAAACUGUUUUUCUUGAGUAGUGCAGAGGUAGGCGGAAUUCCCGGUGUAGCGGUGGAAUGCGUAGAUAUCGGGAGGAACACCAGUGGCGAAGGCGGCCUACUGGGCACCAACUGACGCUGAGGCUCGAAAGUGUGGGUAGCAAACAGGAUUAGAUACCCUGGUAGUCCACACUGUAAACGAUGAUUACUAGGGUGUUGGAGGAUUGACCCCUUCAGUGCCGCAGUUAACACAAUAAGUAAUCCACCUGGGGAGUACGACCGCAAGGUUGAAACUCAAAGGAAUUGACGGGGGCCCGCACAAGCAGUGGAGUAUGUGGUUUAAUUCGACGCAACGCGAAGAACCUUACCAAGUCUUGACAUCCUGCGACGCACAUAGAAAUAUGUUUUUCCUUCGGGACGCAGAGACAGGUGGUGCAUGGUUGUCGUCAGCUCGUGUCGUGAGAUGUUGGGUUAAGUCCCGCAACGAGCGCAACCCUUAUGGUCAGUUACUACGCAAGAGGACUCUGGCCAGACUGCCGUUGACAAAACGGAGGAAGGUGGGGAUGACGUCAAAUCAUCAUGCCCUUUAUGACUUGGGCUACACACGUACUACAAUGGCGUUAAACAAAGAGAAGCAAGACCGCGAGGUGGAGCAAAACUCAGAAACAACGUCCCAGUUCGGACUGCAGGCUGCAACUCGCCUGCACGAAGUCGGAAUUGCUAGUAAUCGCAGAUCAGCAUGCUGCGGUGAAUACGUUCCCGGGCCUUGCACA
Molecule: ribosomal RNA, 1367 nt
Filed under: uncultured bacterium
Lineage: Bacteria
Description: bacterial SSU rRNA
Rfam family: Bacterial small subunit ribosomal RNA
Source: RNAcentral